This 490-nucleotide ribosomal RNA is filed under the name uncultured bacterium. RNAcentral describes it as "partial 16S ribosomal RNA". It matches the Rfam family "Bacterial small subunit ribosomal RNA", at positions 30 to 507 of the family's 1533-position model. The record is from RNAcentral.
AUUGAACGCUGGCGGCAGGCCUAACACAUGCAAGUCGAACGGUAACAGGAAGCAGCUUGCUGCUUCGCUGACGAGUGGCGGACGGGUGAGUAAUGUCUGGGAAGCUGCCUGAUGGAGGGGGAUAACUACUGGAAACGGUAGCUAAUACCGCAUAAUGUCGCAAGACCAAAGAGGGGGACCUUCGGGCCUCUUGCCAUCGGAUGUGCCCAGAUGGGAUUAGCUUGUUGGUGGGGUAACGGCUCACCAAGGCGACGAUCCCUAGCUGGUCUGAGAGGAUGGCCAGCCACACUGGAACUGAGACACGGUCCAGACUCCUACGGGAGGCAGCAGUGGGGAAUAUUGCACAAUGGGCGCAAGCCUGAUGCAGCCAUGCCGCGUGUAUGAAGAAGGCCUUCGGGUUGUAAAGUACUUUCAGCGGGGAGGAAGGGAGUAAAGUUAAUACCUUUGCUCAUUGACGUUACCCGCAGAAGAAGCACCGGCUAACUCCGUG